Molecule: ribosomal RNA, 507 nt
Filed under: uncultured bacterium
Lineage: Bacteria
Description: partial 16S ribosomal RNA
Rfam family: Bacterial small subunit ribosomal RNA
Source: RNAcentral
ACGAACGCUGGCGGCGUGCCUAAUCCAUGCAAGUCGAACGCUUCUUUCCUCCCGAGUGCUUGCACUCAAUUGGAAAGAGGAGUGGCGGACGGGUGAGUAACACGUGGGUAACCUACCCAUCAGAGGGGGAUAACACUUGGAAACAGGUGCUAAUACCGCAUAACAGUUUAUGCCGCAUGGCAUAAGAGUGAAAGGCGCUUUCGGGUGUCGUUGAUGGAUGGACCCGCGGUGCAUUAGCUAGUUGGUGAGGUAACGGCUCACCAAGGCCACGAUGCAUAGCCGACCUGAGAGGGUGAUCGGCCACACUGGGACUGAGACACGGCCCAGACUCCUACGGGAGGCAGCAGUAGGGAAUCUUCGGCAAUGGACGAAAGUCUGACCGAGCAACGCCGCGUGAGUGAAGAAGGUUUUCGGAUCGUAAAACUCUGUUGUUAGAGAAGAACAAGGACGUUAGUAACUGAACGUCCCCUGACGGUAUCUAACCAGAAAGCCACGGCUAACUACGUG